Molecule: ribosomal RNA, 468 nt
Filed under: uncultured bacterium
Lineage: Bacteria
Description: partial 16S ribosomal RNA
Rfam family: Bacterial small subunit ribosomal RNA
Source: RNAcentral
GAUGAACGCUGGCGGCGUGCUUAACACAUGCAAGUCGAACGGAAAGGCACUGAUUUUGUGGUGUGCUCGAGUGCCGAUCGGGUGCGUAACACGUGUGUAACCUGCUCUUGAUUUUCGUAUAACUUCAGGAAAGUGGGGCUACUACCAGACAGGAGCUCCCGCUGCAUGGUGGGGGGUGGAACGUUGAGGCCGUCGGGGAUGGACUCGCGGCUUAUGAGUUUGUUGGUUGGGUAGUGGCUUACCAAGGCUUUGACGGGUAGCCGGCUUGAGAGGGGGACCGGCCUCAUUGGGACUGAGAUACGGCCCAGACGCCUACGGGAGGCAACAGUGGGGAGUAUUGCACAGUGAGAGGGAGCCUGAUGCAGAAACGCCGCGUUCGGAAUGACGGCCUUCGGGGUGUGAACCGCUGUCGCCUGUGACGAAGCGUGAGUGACGGUAAUGAAUAAAGAAGCACCGGCUAACUACGUG